AAACAUUUAUUGGGCAUAAAUAUAUUACAUAUACACUACAGAUACAGUUAGGUAUUACAUAUAGCAUAGUAUUUGCAAAAUCUAUACAUUAAAAUUGAUAUGGCAGUUUUAAUACAAUGUAUAUGAAAUAGUCUAAAAUUUACAAUACAGGAAAACAUGAUUUUCUUUUUCUCCUAGAGUUGAAAAGCUUGGAAUGUAUGUCCAACAGUGAGGUAAAACAUUUUAUCUUUCAAUUUAAAGAAUUGUGCAAGGAUAACAUUCAAACACAUUCAAUUAGGGCACUUCUCAAUUUUUGACAUGAAUACUGAAUUACUGUAGCCAACAAAACAAGGUUAGAAAAUGCCAACAUUUAAAGUUGAUAAGAACAAGGCAGAGAAUAUGCAGAAAGUCUCUUUAAAAAGUGUUCUUUUUCAACAAUUUCUUUGAGGACAAAGGGCAGUUUGCUUCACAUGACUGGAAUUUCUUGUGCCAGGGAUGAGUUUGACAUACAGAGAAGAGUCAGAGCAUCAGAAGGCCACUCAUUCACUCCUCACAUAGCAAAAGGGCAAAGAGAUCAGGUUAAUAGAACACUUUAUUUUAUUGUUCGUGUGUAAUGGCAAUAUAUAUAGUUAUAUAUCAAUAUCACAUAUACAUAUUUGUGAUAGAAAACAGUGCCAUAGAGAGUAAUAAUUUUCUGACUGAAGGAAUAUAAUGAAUACCAAAUAAUGGAGAGCAAUAAAAUAAAGUGCUGUCAGCUUUGUAUUUCACACACUUCAGCUUCCUGGUGGUUAAAUGAUAGUAUGAAAAUCUCAAGAAGAUCAAAUAUUCAUAUAGAUUUUGGCCUAAAGUACUAUUUACUUAAAAAAAAUUCAACCAAUUCAGAGAAUUUCUUUAUAGCAGCAGUUCUGAAGUGUUUCAAAAAAGAGACUUCCCCAACCCCCCAAGAGGGGGCUUUGUACUCAGUUGAAUUUGCAUUGCUUAAAAAAUACCUCUCCCCGAAACACCUGCGUGGAAUUUUUUAGAAAAUGCACAUGCUGUGUCACAGUGGGUCACAGCACAUGUUUAAACAGGGGGGUGAGUUUUGGAAGGCCAGAACUUUGGCAGAAAUAUAUUUACCUCGAUGCCAUCAGUUUGCAAAGCUAAUUAAACUACUUAUUAUAGUCAAUAAUAAAAAACACAGAACUCUCUAGUACUCACUACAUCAAUAUAGGCACACAGAAUAAUUCAUUGAUCUCAGCAUUUUCUUCCAAGAGAUGAUUAUGGUUUUGGGGUACAUGUAAACGUUUCAAUCACUGAUAAUGGAUUUCUUUUUUUUUUUUUGGCAUUUAAUGCACUAGAUGCUCUUAUCUUUUUAAAAACACAAGAAAAUGUCAGAAGAUUAAUAAUACUACAGAUGUUGCCAAGGAACAAGACUGACCUAAAAUUACAAAAGUAUAAAACACAAAAAUAUAACAUGCUACAAGGGAAAAUUAGUACAUAAGUACAUUUAAAAAUUUUUUACAAUAAAUAAAGAUUGCACUGUAAUUGGCAUUUAAAGUACUGUAUGCAGAAUAUAGUAUAAAUAAACCAAAAACAAAAUAAUGUUGGUUUCCCCAUGACUUUGGUAUGGGAACAUUAUAAGCUAGUACAGGAUACUGCAUCUUAGACAACAAAGACCAAGCACAAAAUAGCUAUGAUCAAGAAAAACCAAGUAGCAAAAAUAUACAAAAACAGAAGCAGGGGGAUACACUGUGUCUGUUGCACCCUUUUGGAAUAUAUUUGCACCUCCAACUCUUAAAUGUCCCUGAGGUACUCGAACAUUAUGGACUUCAUAUAAAUAAUCCAAUGACUUUGGGUUAAAAUUGAUUAUCUCAUGACUCAAAAUAAACACAUAAGAGUAACACUUUGCACUCCAAUAGCACCUGUUGGUCAAAUAUCUCAAAGCACUUACAAACAUAAGAAUCCCCAUUUUAUUUUUAUUUUAUUUUUCAUGCAUGGGAAAACUGAGGCACAGAGAGGUAAAGUGACGUGUUCAGGUCACGCAGCAAGUUAGUGACAGAUCCAGGGAAAGAAUCUAGGCUCUUUGAUUCCCAAACACCCUGUGUUUACCAUCAAACACCAUUCCCUCUCCAACCAUGGCCAGGCAACCCCACAGAAAUAGGAACUACAAAUUUAGAUGACUCUCUUUUGGGUUUUAUCAAUUUUCAUCUGCGGUUACAUUAGUAUUAUGUGCACUGAAUUAAGGUAUUGAAAUUCAAUCACUUCAUUGAUACCUCAAAGAACAGCCUAAAGGCAAAUGCUUCAAAAAUAAUGAGCUGACACAUAAGAAGACUGCUCACAAUUAGUGUAAAUCAUGGACAAUGGGCAGAGGCACUAAACUGUCACCAGUUCUUGUCAUAUAAUUCUGGUCAAACAUAACAGAAUAUAAUAACUC
Macaca fascicularis (crab-eating macaque) is the source of this 2392-nucleotide long non-coding RNA. The record is from Ensembl. Lineage: Eukaryota; Metazoa; Chordata; Mammalia; Primates; Cercopithecidae.